RNAcentral lists this ribosomal RNA (253 nucleotides) under uncultured bacterium. Its description in RNAcentral is "partial 16S ribosomal RNA". It matches the Rfam family "Bacterial small subunit ribosomal RNA", at positions 524 to 776 of the family's 1533-position model. The record is from RNAcentral.
UACGAAGGGGGCUAGCGUUGCUCGGAAUCACUGGGCGUAAAGCGCACGUAGGCGGCUUUCUAAGUCAGGGGUGAAAUCCUGGAGCUCAACUCCAGAACUGCCUUUGAUACUGGAGAGCUCGAGUCCGGAAGAGGUGAGUGGAACUGCGAGUGUAGAGGUGAAAUUCGUAGAUAUUCGCAAGAACACCCGUGGCGAAGGCGGCUUACUGGUCCGGUACUGACGCUGAGGUGCGAAAGCGUGGGGAGCAAACAGG